Molecule: unclassified non-coding RNA, 180 nt
Organism: Chelonoidis abingdonii (Abingdon island giant tortoise)
Lineage: Eukaryota; Metazoa; Chordata; Testudines; Testudinidae
Source: Ensembl
UUGCCCGUCCUGGGGCCUGAAUCCAUUUCUUUAUUAAUAGAACAAAUACAGCAUGGACAGCAGCAGUGCAAGCUUCCUGCACAUCCACCGCCACCAAUGCCUCUGAACUGUGACUCUAAGGCACGGCUCUAGAGAGAGAAUAGAGUUUGUUCUCCGUGGCCCAUUCAGUCCUCGGCUUCU